UGGGGAAUAUUGCACAAUGGGCGAAAGCCUGAUGCAGCAACGCCGCGUGAGGGACGACGGCCUUCGGUUGUAACCUCUUUUAGCAAGGAAGAAGCGAAAGUGACGGUACUUGCAGAAAAAAGCGCCGGCUAACUACGUGCCAGCAGCCGCGGUAAUACGUAGGGCGCAAGCGUUAUCCGGAAUUAUUGGGCGUAAAGAGCUCGUAGGCGGUUUGUCGCGUCUGCUGUGAAAACCCGAGGCUCAACCUCGGGCCUGCAGUGGGUACGGGCAGACUAGAGUGCGGUAGGGGAGAUUGGAACUCCUGGUGUAGCGGUGGAAUGCGCAGAUAUCAGGAAGAACACCGAUGGCGAAGGCAGAUCUCUGGGCCGUAACUGACGCUGAGGAGCGAAA
Molecule: ribosomal RNA, 390 nt
Filed under: uncultured bacterium
Lineage: Bacteria
Description: partial 16S ribosomal RNA
Rfam family: Bacterial small subunit ribosomal RNA
Source: RNAcentral